AGCAGUUGCCAGUGUCAUUUUUGUGACGUUGCAGCUAGUAAUAUGAGCCCAGUUGCAUAGUCACAAAAGUGAUUAUUGGAAACUGU
Molecule: microRNA precursor, 86 nt
Filed under: Xenopus tropicalis (tropical clawed frog)
Lineage: Eukaryota; Metazoa; Chordata; Amphibia; Anura; Pipidae
Description: microRNA xtr-mir-153 precursor (xtr-mir-153-2)
Gene: xtr-mir-153-2
Rfam family: mir-153 microRNA precursor family (bases 8-80)
Source: miRBase by way of RNAcentral